ACAGAACAAGCUGCUCUUCUAGACAUUGCUGGCAAGUCUUGUCCACUGCGUGUUCGUAAAACAGGCUUAAAGGUUAGAAUGAAUUAAAUGAGGGGUAUAGUAGUAAUUGAAUAAAUAGUUGAUAAAUAUAACUAGAGAGAAGGAAAAAAAAAACAAAAAACAAAAGAAGAGAUCUGAAAUUUAAGAACAAACCGUGAGAGAGAAAGGAGGAAGAAGAAGAAGAAGAGAAAAGAGGGGAAAAUAAGGGAAAAAGAAAAGGAGUUGGAGGAAAUAAGUUUAAAGAUAAUCCUGAUAUUCUACCGGCGGGACGUCAGUAGGAUUUUUCUUCGAUAUCAGCUUUGAGUUUUAUUGCUUUCAAGUCAGGCUUAUAGCUUGAUAGCAGGUCAUUUUGUUGGACCUUCAGAACCUGCUCUUUUGGUAGUAAUUUGUACCUUCCUUUAUGUCUAGUUAGUGCUCCAAAACUCUGAACUUAUAUAAACUCUUGUAUUAAGACAAUUCAAUUAUAUUAUGAAGUUGAUUUUGUUGUUAA
This is a long non-coding RNA of Populus nigra (black poplar), 529 nucleotides long. RefSeq lists it as uncharacterized. The record is from RefSeq and is a predicted model, not a curated record. The transcript is spliced from 3 exons. NCBI's taxonomy places the organism in Eukaryota, Viridiplantae, Streptophyta, Magnoliopsida, Malpighiales, Salicaceae.